This is a non-coding RNA of Caenorhabditis elegans, 147 nucleotides long. The record is from Ensembl. NCBI's taxonomy places the organism in Eukaryota, Metazoa, Nematoda, Chromadorea, Rhabditida, Rhabditidae.
AUGAUUUGCAAUGUUGUGAUUAUCCUCGUUUCCCCAGAGAACACGACACAUGAUGGAAUAGAGUGUGGUGAGGAAAACCAACGGAAUCGCAUAAAGAACAAUCAGCUCACAGUACUUGAAGUAGGUUCUGCAAGCAAAAGAAAACAC